GCCAGCGUAGCCUAAUCGGCAGGGCAGCCGCCUUGUAAGCGGUCAGGUGUGGGUUCGAGUCCCACCGCUGGCU
Molecule: transfer RNA, 73 nt
Filed under: Anaerolineae bacterium
Lineage: Bacteria; Bacillati; Chloroflexota; Anaerolineae
Description: tRNA-Thr
Rfam family: tRNA
About the family: Transfer RNA (tRNA) molecules are approximately 80 nucleotides in length. Their secondary structure includes four short double-helical elements and three loops (D, anti-codon, and T loops).
Source: RNAcentral